AUAUCACUAAGCGGAGGAAAAGAAAUUAUCGAAGAUUGCCUCAGUAGCGGCGAGCGAAGUGGCAAAAGCUCAAGUCGAAUCUGUGACCCUCGGUCACUGAAUUGUAAUCUUAAGGGGUUAACAAAAGGGAAGAUUGAGGCAUAAGUCGCUUGGAACAGCGCGCCAAAGAGGGUGAUAGCCCCGUAUUUGGCCUCUAUCAACCUGAAUGUUGGCUCUCAUAGAGUCGGGUUGUUUUGUAUUGCAGCCCUAAGUGGGAGAUAAACUUCUUCUAAGGCUAAAUAUAUAUGGGAGACCGAUAGCGCACAAGUA
RNAcentral lists this ribosomal RNA (309 nucleotides) under uncultured eukaryote. Its description in RNAcentral is "partial large subunit ribosomal RNA". It matches the Rfam family "Eukaryotic large subunit ribosomal RNA", at positions 40 to 350 of the family's 3401-position model. The record is from RNAcentral.